UACGGAGGAUCCGAGCGUUAUCCGGAUUUAUUGGGCUUAAAGGGAGCGUAGGCGGGUUGUUAAGUCAGUUGUGAAAGUUUGCGGCUCAACCGUAAAAUUGCAGUUGAUACUGGCAUCCUUGAGUACAGUAGAGGUAGGCGGAAUGCGCGGUGUAGCGGUGAAAUGCAUAGAUAUCGCGCAGAACCCCGAUUGCGAAGGCAGCCUGCCGGCCCCACACUGACGCUGAGGCACGAAAGCGUGGGUAUCGAACAGG
This 253-nucleotide ribosomal RNA is filed under the name uncultured Bacteroides sp. Its description in RNAcentral is "partial 16S ribosomal RNA". It matches the Rfam family "Bacterial small subunit ribosomal RNA", at positions 524 to 776 of the family's 1533-position model. The record is from RNAcentral. Lineage: Bacteria; Pseudomonadati; Bacteroidota; Bacteroidia; Bacteroidales; Bacteroidaceae.